UACGGAGGGGGCGAGCGUUAUUCGGAAUUAUUGGGCGUAAAGGGCGCGUAGGCGGCUUGAUGUGUCAAAGGUGAAAUCCCUCGGCUCAACUGAGGAACUGCCUUUGAAACUGUCUGGCUUGAGGCCGGGAGAGGGUAGCGGAAUUCCCAGUGUAGCGGUGAAAUGCGUAGAUACUGGGAGGAACACCGGUGGCGAAGGCGGCAUCCUGGACCGGUAUUGACGCUGAGGCGCGAAAGCUAGGGGAGCAAACGGG
Molecule: ribosomal RNA, 253 nt
Filed under: uncultured bacterium
Lineage: Bacteria
Description: partial 16S ribosomal RNA
Rfam family: Bacterial small subunit ribosomal RNA
Source: RNAcentral